GAAAUGCGAUACGCAGUGCGAAUUGCAGAACGCGAGUCAUCAGAUCUUUGAACGCAAGUGGCGCCGGUUAGCAGCCGGCAUGUGAGGCUCAGUGUGUUUGGAAAUCCUAAAUGCGGAAUGUGGUUGAAGUUGCGCGACUAACCUCACAAAGCUUCUCCCAUUAAACAACGCAGCAGGGGCGCUGCGCGCGGUGAAAUCUUUCCCCGUCGGGCUGUCCUCUCCCCGGUAGUAGUCACUAGCAUCCUAGUGAUCUCCGGCGAGGGCUCUCUUCGAGGCGAGCAGCCGUGCGAUCUACAACAGCGCCCCCUUUACCCCCCACCUCCUCAUUCUACACCUGAGCCCCGCAAGAUCACCCGCUGAACUUAA
This 366-nucleotide unclassified non-coding RNA is filed under the name uncultured fungus. Its description in RNAcentral is "sequence contains ITS1". The stretch from base 1 to 97 matches the Rfam family "5.8S ribosomal RNA", at positions 50 to 154 of the family's 154-position model. The record is from RNAcentral. Lineage: Eukaryota; Fungi.